GAGUGCGGGCCCUCGCGCCCAACCUCCCAACCCUUUGUCGAUUCAUAUCUGUUGCCUCGGGGGGCGACCCGGACGUCGCGCCGGGAGUCCCCCAGAGGUCCAACCCAACACACUGCGUCUCUGCGUCGGAGUAUUGAAUAACAAUCAAUCAAAACUUUCAACAACGGAUCUCUUGGUUCU
Molecule: unclassified non-coding RNA, 180 nt
Filed under: rhizosphere metagenome
Description: partial ribosomal RNA internal transcribed spacer region
Source: RNAcentral